GACAAGCUCACGAAGAAAGAAGGCAGGAUCUCAUGAGAAUGCGUAACAGGACACUCCACCUGGCACGGUAGGUCAGGAAGAGGUCCUCAAAGAAGGAACAUGUAAAGUGUGAGCCAGCGGGGCAGGAGUGGAAGCCGCAAGUGCAUCUUUCUGUAUCUCGUUUGUGAGAGCUCAUUAUCGAGUUGACAUGAACCCCUGGCCCAGCACAUGCUGCACAUGCCGUACCUUUCUUGUGAAGAAUGUUCCGGGCUCGUACCAGGUCAGGAUCGUCAGGCCCAACACCCAGAAUUCUGAGAGACACAUAGUUGAGCGCAGUCCCAAACACGGUGGACUUAUCCUCAAUGUGCCUACAGGAGCAGAGGACAGGAAAAACCAGGCCAUACAGAGAUAGGAGCUGAGGGGACAUAGUGAGGUGUGACCAGAAGACAAGAGUGCGAGCCUUCUGUUAUCCCCAGACAGGGCCAGCAAAAGGGCUCCUUGGUCUACCGGUAACGCCAACGUCUGGGAAGACG
This 512-nucleotide non-coding RNA is filed under the name Pan troglodytes (chimpanzee). Lineage: Eukaryota; Metazoa; Chordata; Mammalia; Primates; Hominidae. The record is from RNAcentral.